UCUUCAUUAAUUACCCAGUGUGAGGUAGUUCUUUAUAGCAGCGUGAGAACAAAAUAAUACAGAUAGUUUCUUCCUAACCCAAACCUUAUUAUGGAAUAAUAGGUGAAUUCUCCACCUCUGCCAGGAAGGAAUUAAGAGGGAGAGAAAAUGAACCUCAACCACUACCACUGAAAAAGUGGUGCAGUAAAAAUAGGCAUUUGGGAGACACUGAGCUGGAAGAUCUACAAUUCUAGCUCCUAAGAUCACCAUGUUCACUCCUAUAACGUGUAGGCAUGGCAAGAUAGUGGCAUCUCAGCAGAUUAAAUUAUUUUCAAAAAUAAUGGGCUUCUUUUAUAGGCUACAGAUUUACUAUAAAAUAAUUUGAGCUAUUUUCCUCUUUGGCUCCCCAAGGAGAUAAAUAAGAAUUUGUUUUCUGGAUAUUUGGGAUUUUUCUCCAAGGAACAGUUAGGCUAUUGUAUUCAAGGUCAAUCAUCAGUUAAAUAAAUUUAAAAAAACUAUUUUGCUAAAGUAGCAACAUAUUCUGCACUCUUGGAAUGUGACUGAACUCUAUAAUACAGUGUAAGUGGCACUAUGCCAAUUUCACAGGUAGCCUGGGCUAGUUUGGUCUGGCUUCCCACUUCCUGUCUGCCCCACAGUUUUGUCAAAGGCACAGCUUACAGAGAGAGAAAGGCCAAUGUCCAAAAUGGAAAAAAAAGAGAGAGAGAGAGUUCUUCAGCAGGAAUGUACCUAAAGCUUGUCACUUAAUGAUAAUUAGACUUGGGUAGGAGGAAUGAAAGGAAGAUUCAUUAUCAGACAGCUGUUUUUUUUUUUUCACUAGAAUUUGGUUUAGAGGAGAAAUGUGAACUGUCAUAACUAAUAUCAACCAUGCUGGUAUCUCUUUCAAAUACAUAAAUACCAAAACUGAGGGCAGAAACCCCAGGAUAGAAAGCUACAUGCCAUGCCAUUUGGGAUUAUUUCCUUUUUAUUUGUAAGAGAUCAAACAUGAUUAAUAUCUGCCCUAACUCAAAAGGAAACAUUGUUAGCUUAAAGAAAAGCUCUUCUAAUUCUCCUCAUCUUACCUGAACUGAACACCUUCUCUGAUGGACAUUGAUACCCUCCAAAUAACAUUUCUUUGGAAAGUGCACCAUCUUUUCUCAUAGCUAAAAAGUGUAUGAAAUAUGGCAUAAGUGGAAAAACAGUAUAUCCUUUAAGAUGAUGACAACGUUAGGUUUAUGUUAGGGCCUCACACUCUUGCCUCAGGGGAAGAAACGGAAGAGAGAGAUGAUAAUGAGAAAUUUAUCUGAUUCUACUGAGGCCUUGCCUAAAAAUUCAAUUCUUCAGAUUUUUAAUAUGUGCUCACUUUUGUCCUUCAGAUAUUGGAAGGUACUCAAUAUUGUAUGAACAUUCUCUGGUGGUUCGUGAAAUCAUGGUGACUUGGGUCUGGGCCCAAUCUCAAUUCAUUUGCAAGGAGUCAAUCUGAAGACCUGUGACCACAAUGAGGAAUUUCAAAGGGGAUCUUCAGUACUGCCUGGAUAUUUUAAAUGGACAACCAGAUAGCACAGGAAGCAGCCCAGCUCCAGAUUCUAGGCUCGCAGAUGGUGAUGCUGGAAAGGGGAAAAGAAACGUUGGUUGAAUCUGCAGAGAAGGGACCCACAGAUAUGGAGCACCCACUGUUUACCAGACACUGAGCUAGGUAUUUGGGAUGCCACAGAAGAGUAUCAAGAAUCACCCCUGCCCUCAAGCAGCUUUUAACCAUUGAGCAGACACCAGGGAAGGGCCAGAGGAGCAGCGUGGGUGGAAAAGGAUAUUGUGAGACUUUGACAGAAGUAGGAGUAGGAGGGAUAUGGGAGGAAUCGGACUUGUUUGGCCUUUUAGGGUUUUCGGCAUAAAUCUUUGGAAUUACUGCAUCAAUAGUUUAUGUGUACUUACUUAAGGUAAGACUCUAUUCUGCUUUUUUUCCCCUAGACUUUUUGGAAAGCAUGUUCAGAAAGCCUCUUAUCUUCCCUAGCACAAAGAUUGUUUUAACUCUAGCUUAAAUAACAAUAGUAAAAGUGAUCAGGGUAGCUAUCAUUUGUUGAAAACUUACUGUGUGCCAGACCCACUGAUAAGAACUGUGAGUUAACAGAUGAUUCAUUCAUGGCCCAAAGGAGCCCUGUCUUUCCUGAGUUUUCAAGUUCUAUACAGAAAGGUCUCCUGUUUAGCCUUGCUAAACUUCGCACUGAGGAGGGGGCCUACCUCGGGAGUCCCAAAUGAGUGUUACAAAGCACAAUUCAUAAACAUGUCCGACAACUUCCUGAGGAAAGAGCUUUCCAGAACCCACACACCAAAUCAAAUAGUUAAGAAGAAAAUGAGAAAAAGGUUUUAAUUUAAAUCAAUUAUACUUUUAAAUUAUUUUCUUCACACAAUUUAUUAGAAGAAGAAGAAAACCCCCUAAAGUUCUGAAGAAAUAUUAACAUAACAUGCCUGUAACUCAUGCUGUGUUUAAUGAGAGGUGCUGUUUUUCCUGCCAUGGGGCCAUAGCCCAAUGAGUGAUGGCUCUGAAAAGGGUCACAUACAUAUUCAUCAAAUUCGACAUGCACAUGUAAACUGGUUUUAAUAGGCCAUGACAGCAGAAGUUGUGUCGGGCAAAUAGCUGCAUAUGUGCUCCUUUCCUCCACUGGCACAUUUAGCCAUUAACACUCUGGUAUCCAUGGAUGAAAUAUUAGCUUGUUAACUUCAGGCCAUCAGUUGUUGUUGAUUCUCAGUAGCAACUGAGGGAAGAGAUCCCCUCUGCUACUUUAUUAGGGGAGAAGCUUGAACUUCAAGAUGCUCAUUUCACUUUCAUGGUGUCAUUAAUACUAUUUUGUUCCCUGAACUUGGAGUCCAGAAGAUGCAUGAAAAUUGUUCUGACAAAAAUUGAUAUUAUACCCAGUUCAAACCUACAGAUGGCAUGGGACAAAAACUGAUAUAUCCAGUUCAAACCCACAGAUGGCAUAGGUUUUAAAACUUUUUCUUAAUACAUUUCAAUGCAAGAUCCAUUUUCUUCAACUGUCAACCAUUUUGAAGGUCAUCAAAGCAUGCAUGGUUGUUGGUUAAGUGGACAUUAGCAGCAAUUAUGCAUCCUUCUAAGACUCUCUCCUUCGUUUUUUGAUGAAUAGAUUGUCAAGUUCAGAAGUGAACUAAAUUAUCACAGUGCAACCGAAGCUACACUCGAUUCAUUUUAAAAAAAGGACCCUCAAGUAAUAAAGUGAGAUGUCUAUGUUUUCUAGAAGCUACCAUACAAGAACAAGACCCAAAGCCCAUUAUUUCAAGACACUCAGGCCCUGAGUUAACAUUGAUAGAUUAUCUUUUUGCAACCAUCUGGAGGCCCCUGGCUACCUCAACCAUCAACUGUUGGAUACCUAUAUUUAGUUAAACAGAAGAAUCUUUCAUGGACCAUUUACAUUUAGCCUGUUCUGUCAGUCAAGUUUCUUCCUAGAUUGAGUUGGUGUUUUGUUCUACUUUCUGUUAAACAAACAGCUGUACAUUUGAAUCACCAAGGUACUGGGUCUAACCAAAGUGACCUUUACAUAACAUGUUGAGGAAGAGUUUCAUAGCUUGGAAACAAAUCUGUCAUUCAUAGUCAAUCACAUUUUAUUACUGAUCUCUUGUUCCUCAUCCCCAUCCUUUCCUGCUUCUUCUCCAAAUCAGCGAUGAAUCCUUGCCAAAAAAAAAAAAAAAAUUCUGCCCUUUAUUCACCAAUAAGUGUUCCAGAUCGUCACAUGCUUAAAAUAGGAUCAACUUUAGUUGCCAAGAUAGUAAACAACACAAUAAAAUAAUUUAUCCACUAAUAAAAUUAUACUAUAUGGUGAGAAAAUAUAUUAAAAAAGUAAUUAGUUGAAUAAAUUAACUGGAUAUUUGUCUCUUUGUCAUGAAUAUAUUUUCCUUGGCAGAAGGAAGUAUAUGUAGGACCCCUGUUUUUUUUUUAGCUUCCUCAUAUUUAGUUGUGAAUGAAGAAUACACUGGAUCCAACCCUAUGGGUAUUAUACAGGGAACAAUUUUCUAAAAGAAACCUACAAACACUCCAAUAUCAGAUACUGUACUGUUCAAGUUAGAGGUAUCAGAUCUAUUCUGGCUUUUUCAAUGGAAUAUAUUUGUCUUCAUUCUCAGACUUGGUGUCUUGGGACAAGAUAAUUUAAGGAAGACUGCGAUUAACAUAGGCCAGCUCUCCCUUGUAAUAUAUGAGUGGGCUCAAUACAAUGUAUUCUAAUGCUGCAUUACAAUACAGUGAUUUUUAUGCCCCACCUUCCAUACAUUUAAGAGUUGUGAGUGACUUUACAUGUUUUGAGCUACUCUCAAUUGAGAAGAUUAUCACCAUGUCAAUAAGUGACAUAAUGUGUGUUCAGUAUUUUCCCAGUUCUGGCUUAGGCUCAUUAGACCACCACUGCCAAAGAACACAGGGCACAAUUUGCUUGAUUUCUGCUUUUUUAGAAAAAAAGGCCCUCCAUUUCUAACUGUUCUAAUUACAUUUCAGUGCAAUUAGGAAACUCAUCCCUAGAAAGCAAAGUUGCUUUCUGUGACUGGUGAGCAGAGGCAGAAAAUGAAAGGCCGGCUCUUCCUUGGCACUGCUGCCCAUCACUAAGAGGCGGGAAUGACUGGUGAACUUGGCUGAUUCAGGAAAAUGCCAUCUGGUAUAGAUUUCCUUUCAAUUCAUUGGGAGGAAUUCAGGAUCAUGGGCAAUAAUUGAAAGCUGUUGUCUUGGGGUGAUAUUUUAUUUAGCUCCUUUCUUUCUACUUAGUUUCUGGAAACCAGGCUAUCUGCCCUAACACACAUCUACUUAUUCUACCUGUAUUCACACUGCUGACAAAUCCCUCUUAAGCUAAGAGUGCACACCCAUAAAUAAUGUGCAGUUUGCAUUUAUUCUUCUCCAAAGUGCUGUAAACAUCAAGGCCUACUUAUCGGAGGUGUAUGCAUGGUAACAGAGGGUCAUUGAGAACUAGGGCCAAAUGAAUUGAAGUAAGCAGAAUGAAUGGCGUUGUUGGUCAUAACUGAACGCUGUGUCUGAAUUGAGUCCACUCAAAGUAGAUCACAUAUGACUUUAAUCCACUGCUCUGCCCAGCUUUCUCAGAAGAUAAAUCUGUCUCCAGCUGUUAUUUACAUAUUAUCAUUUUACUGUAUGUCACUGUCAUAGUUUCAGACUUGAGUAAAUCCACAUUUAAAUAGCGAUUUGUCUCCUUUUGAUAGUAAAUAUUCUCGUAAGUGGUGGUUAGGAUUAAAGGGAAUUUGUCGACAGUAGGUAAAUGAAAUUAUACACUCAGCCAAGAGAGCCUUCAUUGGGAAGCCCAGUCCAGCAGGUGCCAGUUGUCCCACAAAAUUCCCCCUUUGAAGGUAGAGUGAUAAUUCCCUGAAAGGAGAAAAAGAAAAGGAGGGGUGGAGGAAAUGCAUAUACAAAUGUUCUCAGCUCUCCAGACUCCCUGGGAGGGGGCAAAGCCUGCCCCAAACAGCCCUGGAGACACCACCACUUAAAGGUUAGCAAAGAGUUCUUUUGAGGUGACAUUUAAACCUUUAAUAGCUCCCAGCCAGCUUGAGGAGGAAUAAUUUUCUCUCCCUGAAAGCUGGGAGCCAGCACUGCUCAGUUACCUGUCUACAGAGGAUGUCAGGGUGUGGAGGAAACCCAAGUGGGGCAAUUUGGGAGGAGGGGGCAGAGCCCGCCGGUGUCUGUGGGCCUUGCCCUCCGCCCUAAUUGCACCAAAGGCUGAAAAAAGCUUCAGGUUGCACGUUAGGCCCUUGCUGAGAUUAGCAAUUAUAAUAUCAGUUUCCCCCAAACAGGGCUGACAGAAUGGCUGGGGGAGCAGAGGUGACUUAAAGUUUAGUAAGUCUCGGGGAAAGUUUAUUGUCUCCUGCUGUUUUCUGGCCCACAAAUUUGGCCUUUCUACUACCCAGCACUGGCCACAAACAGUAGGAAUCCUUUUCAAUCACUAUUAGCAACACUUCAUUUCAGUCAUAUUUGACCCUUGGCAAACUACAACUCAGGGAAGAACAUUCUUUCCAGAAAGGAACCAGACAUCAUUCAGCUAGAGACGAUUUACUGUGGGACAUGGAGCUUAUUUGCUUUUGUUGAGCCCCUGGAGCUACUCAGCCUGUUAAAAUGGAUUGUCCUUUUGCACAGCCAUGCCGGUGGGAGGGUCAUUCCUGAGAGGCAGAGAGGGGGUGGAGGCCAGCCCUGGUCUUUAUCAACUUGUCAUCUGGUCCCAUUGCCCUGAGCCAGGAUCUUUGGAGUGCACUGCCUGCCCAAGUAACCUAUUUUGCAGCUUGUCUUGAAAGCAAGGCAUAUGUUAGGUAGUCAAGAACAUCCCUUUUCUCCUCCAUGUCAGGGCCAUAGUGGUGUCUCCUCCAGUUUUUGCUUAUAUUUAAUUUGCUUGGAUAUGAAGAAAGAAAAUAAAAGCUAACCAAAACACUGAAAUCUUGAAAAUGACUUCAAUCAACAGAAAGGCACAUUUCCCCAGCUUUUCCUUAUAUACUACAUGAGACAGCAUUUGGAUUUUUAGUCUAUUUUUUUUCCUCUCCCAUCCAUUGUCUACCAUGGGAAUUUCUAAGCAGUGCUAAGAGGACCCUGACUCAACAGUCUCCUCUCCCACCUGGGUAUCUUUCAUUGUUAUUAAAGAAAGUGGGUAAAGGGGAGUUACUGUUUAACGGUACAGAGUUUCUGUUGGGGAUGAUGAAAAAGUGUUGGGUGUUGAUAACGGUGAUGAUUCUAGAGCAUUGUGAUUGUACUUAAUGCCACUGAAUUGUAUACCUAUGAAUGGCUAAAAGGAUAAAUAUUAUGUACAUUCACAAUAUUAAUCUAAUGUUAAUAUUAAUAAUUAAUAUUAACUCAGCCCCUAUAUGGCUGAAAUGUCUGACUGGUGCUUUCUUUCCUAGCAUCUUCUCCUAGGAAGCAGAUGGUCUUCACAGUGACCUGUAUAGUAAGGAAGGUUAAGGCAGCCACAAAGAACCAACCUGGGCUUGCUUCAGAUGGAACUAGAAACAGAGAUGGGACAGCCAGAAUUAGAAUGCACGUCACUGGGCAGAAACAUGGACAACCCACUAAAACAUGACCUUCAUGGGCGUGGAACACUCAGAUGGCUUACAGGCUGCAAAUUAGGAACAAGAUGGGCCUAAGUAAAAAUGAUGGGAACUGUCUUCUCACAAUAACCCACAGACAUUUAAAGAGGUGAGAGAUAUGGAUUUCCAGAAAACCACACAUAUUUGGGGGAAAAUAGGGGUCAUUCUCCAGAGGCUUUGAUCCAUUAGUUGGCAUUUCACAAAAGGCGGCCAGACCGUGUUGAUUCGACAACAGAGGUGUAAGCUGGGACAAAUUAAUUUACACUGCUUCAUGUGGGAAAGGCAACAAGGCCUGAUAUGUCCAUUACUAGUCUUAAGAAAAAGUAUUUGUGCAAUGUUAACACAGUUUAUACAGUUUAUGAAAUCAACAAAUGAUUUGAUCUUUUGCAAGCACCAACACCCCUUGAAUAAGCUUUUCUGAAUUGCCCUGGUCAAUCCUUGUGACUUGUGUUUUAAGUACUCUUUUUAAGUUCAGAACAGUGUAAAAUUUAAAAUCCAAGCCGUAUUUUUCUUUCCUUUAUAAGAAUUUAAGCAUUGGGCUGAUUUUAGGCCUGAAGCUUUCAUUGAUGCUAGAGUCAAUCAUGAAUGACUAACCUAGACCUUCUAGGAGGAUUGCUAAUUGGUUGCGACUCAUUACCUGGAGCUAUAAGAAUGGCUAAAAAGAAGUAGCCCCAUCUGAGGAGAGCCUUCUAUGGUCACUUCAGCCUGGAAUUCAUUCCCUUUCUCUCAACACUUAACAGCGUUUUGAUUAUUUAUUGGUAAAUAAUCUGCUAAACUCUGGAAUCUCUGAGGUAGCCCAUGGAACAUACUGGACACAGAGAAUCUGGAUUUCCCAAGGCAUCAGUGUGCUUUGGGGCCAUACCUAGAAGCUACGCACCUCAAAUUCUGUGGUUUAUAAAGUUCAAUAAAUUGUCUCUACCUAUCUGAGAUAGAGGAAUGGACUAAAUGUGAGGUAGACUUCCAAGGGACAGGACCAUAUAAGUAGCAGAUUUAUUUUAUUCAGAAAGGGCAGCCCCUCAUAUAUAUUAGAAAAAUUAAAUCACUCAUUUCUCAUAUUCCAAAUACUACCACAAAUGAAAGCUGGCCUGGGACUCUCCCUGCCCCAGUCUUCACUGAGACCCUAAGGUGAUAGAUAUGAUGCACAAAGGGGUGGUAGAUGGACCCCCCCUCUCCUGUGCUUAUAAAGACUGAUAAAAAGAAUGAUCUCAGAAACUGUUUCCGAACUCUUUGACCACUCAACCAGAUGCAGCAGAUAAAAGAGAUUACAGAGGAAAGAGGAUUUUUUUCAAGAAGAGUGGGGAGGAUUUUUUUUUUGAGAGAGUUUCCAGUGUUGUCAUUUCAUCUUCCCUUCCUGUGGGUGAGUGGAAGGGGGUGUUCAUACUCACAUAAACCAAGUGAGCAGAGUUUCAGGAAACUACUUAACACGAGCUGGGUCCCUGACUAAUGCCUGACUCUUGGGAUGGUGAAUUUGGGUCUGCCUGCAGCCUCAGGCGUCCGAGGGCCCUUUGUGAUCGCAGGAAUGCCAGCACCUCUCAUGUGAUCUGGAGAAGGCUGGCUGGCUGCCUGCAUUGGUGGUGGAAGG
RNAcentral lists this long non-coding RNA (8623 nucleotides) under Homo sapiens (human). RNAcentral describes it as "HSALNT0303184". The record is from RNAcentral. Lineage: Eukaryota; Metazoa; Chordata; Mammalia; Primates; Hominidae.